This is a long non-coding RNA of Cervus elaphus (red deer), 4085 nucleotides long. RefSeq lists it as uncharacterized. The record is from RefSeq and is a predicted model, not a curated record. The transcript is spliced from 5 exons. Lineage: Eukaryota; Metazoa; Chordata; Mammalia; Artiodactyla; Cervidae.
UCUUUUCCAGUGAGCCGGCUCUUCGCAUCAGGCGGCCAGAAUGUUGGAGCUUCAAAGGUUCUUUCAAUCCAGCUCCAUACAAGAAGUUAGUGGGAAAAUUACAAACAUAAUCUGGCAAGUAAAACUAGGCACUAAAGAAAGAAUUCCACUUUUCAUUGAGCCUGAAAUAAAGAAGGAUUCAUGCAUGAAUCAGAUCUUCCAAAAGCAGUAAACCCUGGAGGCUAAGCUAUGUAAGCUAUUAACUUUAGCUUGGUACAUACUGAGCCAGGGAUAAAGAGGCCAGUAUUCAUCUGAACUGACCUGAAGCAAAUGUGAAGUAGCAGUGUCUUUUCUCCCUUCCCAGGAUUUUCCAAGAAAUUCUCCCACCUUCAGUAUUGGACAACACACCUGGAGUUGCCAUGUGGUUUGAUGAAAAAUCCUGGACUAGAAAUCAGUCCGACCUGCUUGUAGGGCCACCCAUCCCCCUAUUCUCUGAGCAUCACUUUCCUUAUUUGUAAGAUGUCUUGCCUGUCUCCAGAGAGUUUCUGUGAGGAUCAAGUGAAGCAGUUUAGGAGGGGUGGAAAUCUGCAAAGUAAUAUGGAAAUGUAAGGAAUAACAUUUAUCUAUGAGUGAUAGAAAAUAACUCAAAAAUCACUUAACCCAUACAUACUAUCUCUCAGAAGAGGAGGUCUGGAGGGGAAGCAACUGCAGGAGUGGUUAAUGAAGUGUCUCUAGAACAACCUCAGGUGCUUUGGUGACUUCUUUUCCUUUCCUCCUCAGGGGGUUUGCUGCUGCCCCUUGUAAUUAUAAGAUGCCUGCCCUAGAUCCAGAUACCAUCUACAGAGAACACCAUCCUGAGGCAGAAAGGGGACUUUUUAAUCUUUCCAAGUAUCAUUUAUUAAGAGCAAGGACAGCAUUUCCAGAAACCCUCCCUCCUAUAGCCCUCCCAUCCUGCCUCAUUGACUGAAAUUGCAACCCAUGCCCAUUGCUAAUCUAUCUAUCAGUGAAAGAGAAAUUGUGUUACUAUGAUUGGUUUAAGACUAAUUAAGAUUCAUUUCCAGAGAGGAGGGAAAGGGCCUCCACUGAAGUAGAUGGCCACCUAAGCUUCUUGUAUAAAACCAAAGUGGUGUGAUCAAGGAAAUGAAGGGGCAAUGGCAAUUGGUUUGUCAACCGGUUUUUUGCCACAGAUUGAUAGUUAUGUUAGCUGUCUCCCUUUUCCCUUCAAAGCAUCAAAGGAAACACGUCUGCAAUUUUCCCUCCAGUCCUAUUGGUGACUAUAUAGAAUGCCAGUUGAAAUGAUUAGAAAUAGGACUUGCCUGGUGGUCCAGUGGUUAAAAAUACACCUGUCAGUGCGGGGGGGACGCAGGUUCGAUCCCUGGUCUGGGAAGAUUCCAUAUGCAAUGAGGCAUCUAAAGCCCAUACACCAUCACUGCGUCCACGUGCUGCAGCUACUGAGGCCUGAUCACCCUAGAGCCUGUGCUUUGCAGGAGAAGCCACCACUGCGAGAAGUGCACCACAAGAAGAGAGUAGUCCCCACUCACCACAACUAGAGAAAAGUCCAAGCACCAAUGAAGACCCAGCACAGCCAGAGAUAAACAAACAUUUAGGGGGGAAAAAUAAUAAGGUUUCAAACCUAUCCAGUAACACAGUCAGGACUAGCUGCAGCCACCCCUCUACAAUUAGACCAACACCAAGACCCUCUUGUUGGCCUUGAGGGUGAAUCUGCCAUCUUAGGAUGAAGCAGAGGGGUAGAAAAGACUGAAGCUGAGGAUAGAACAGAGAGGGACAAUAAAGAAAGCAUCGCUCACUCACUGGGCUAGGUGCCCUAGUACAAACUGAAGGGUGACUCCAUGUGUGUUCACAGUUGGGUAAUAAUCACUUUACUCUCUAUUUCUGGAAAGGAACUGUACCUGCACACCCCUCCAAGUAUAAGCAUAAACAAAGGAUGACAGGUAACAAUAAUGAUUCAGAAUCAUAACCACCAGGAUAAGAAUUCCCGUUUGUCUCAUGCUUACUAGAUGCUCUUAUACUGAGUUUAUCAAAAUCAGAAAAUGGGGCUGAAUGUGAGAGACGGCCCUGGGUAAUAAAGAAUUGCUAAGGCAAUGAGUAUAAUACAUGGAAUUCUUCCUGAAACUGAGAAAGGGAAAGUUUCUUCCAGCUAGGACUGCUAAUUUGUUGGCCAUCUUUGGCUUCCAGUGGCCAUCUUUUUCCCUACAUGGGAGAAAUUGCAAAGAACGAAGCAAUACAAAGGAAAGUAAAGCUGAGAGAGAACCUGCUAACUGUAACAUCUUAGCACCUAGAUCCAGCCAUUCCUGAAGUUUUAUCCUAUGACAUUUCACAUAUGUAAGUCAAUAAAUUCCUGAAUUUUAUUUUCUUAGAACAGUUUCAUUUGGGGACUUCCCUGGUAGUCCAAUGGUCAAGACUCAAAGUUUCCAGUGCAGGGGGCACAGUUUCCAUCCCUGGUCAGGGAGUUAAGAUCCCACAUGUAGGGAGCUACUACAGAAAGAAAAAAAAAUUUUUUUUGAUUUGGAUUUUGGUCCACUGUUGUUUUCAAAAGAAUUUUUACUAAUACUUGCUAAAAUGUAAUUAUCAAUCUCCAGAUCUUCUUGCUGAGAAAUCAAAUCAUUGUGUUAGGCAAACUGACUUUGAAUUGACUUUUUUCAAUUGCAAGUGAGAAAAAUCCAACACAAUUGCUUUCUGCAUAUAAGUAUAUACUAACGUUUUCAGAUUAUUUGCUUGCAUGCUAUAAGGUCACCUGUUGGGUUUAAAUACUGUUUGUUGUCUUUUCUCUUUCUAUUUUCCUUCUUCCAUUUUCUUUUCUUUUACUUUAGGCACAUAACUGGCCGGCAACAAAGCCUCCCCAAGAUGGGGAAAACAGUUCUGGUCUAGCUUGGUUGCUGUGAGCCACUUAAGAUUUAUCUCUGGCAUGCACCAAGGGGUCCUCUCACUAGGGGUGAGGUGUGGUUAGGCAGUGGCAUCUGACCUGACAUCCCAUUUUUUAUUGAGUCUUAGGGCCUCUUUACGUGAUCUCUCCCCACUUGUUCAAUGCAGUCGCUCAGUUGUGUCCGACUCUUUGCAACCCCAUGGGUUGCAGCACGUCAGGCUUCCCUGUCCAUCACCAACUCCCGGAGCCUACUCAAACUCAUGUCCAUCGGGUCAGUGAUGCCAUCCAACCAUCUCAUCCUCUGUCGUCCCCUUCUCCUCCUGCCAUCAAUCUUUCCCACUUGUCAGUUUGGGCUGCUUCUUAGCAUGGUGGCUUCAGUGCAACUGACAGCUUACAUUCCUGAAGGCUUCAGGAGAAAUGCUUCCGGAGAUCCAAGUGGGAGUUCAAGCUCCCUCCGCAGCAUCCUCAGCGCCGGGGCUCCCGGCCGUCGCCAGGGGGCGCGCUCCGGCCUGCGGCACCCGCUGACCCCACCGCGGGGUUUUGGCGCUCCGAGUGCGGACUUCAGGCUGCGUCGCCCGGAGGCAGUCCGGCCGGCUUGUCGGGAGGCUGGGGACCGGCGGCCUUGGCGAAGAAACCGGGCUCGGGGAGGCGGCAGGAAGGGGGCGCUGCGAGGCCCGGGGGUCGCGGCAGGGAGGAAGUGCUGUCUUCGCGGCCCCGCGAAGCCGGUUUUGAUCCCGGCGGCGGGACCCUAGACUCCCAGCGGCUGGCGGGAGGGAGGGAGGCUCCUCCCCCGAGCCUCGUCCCGGCCCCGAGCGGCGGCGGCGGGCGCUUCCCCCGCAGGAAGCGGCGGUUUUAGUCCUCGUGCGGCGGCGGCGGCGGUGCUUGGUCAGGACUCCGGGACUGAACCCAGAAGUGCGGCUGAGCGCCCUGGUCUUUCCCGCUCUCAGCUCUUCAGAGGAUACCAUGAUGACAUAGGGAUCUCCAGCCCAUGAGGAAGCCAGGCAGUGCUGUGUUCUCAAACAGGUUGGUGCUGUAAACGGUAAUAGUCACUGAACGGAGGACAAAGAAUGCCCUUUUUUUAUCAAAGGCAACCAAAAGCACAUGAAGAUCCCAUGUAUGACAUCAUAGGAGAGAAUAAAAGACACGAAAAGAAUAUAAGGUUGAGUUGAAUAUGUGGUGUUGGAGAAGACUCUUGAGAGUCCCUUGGACUGCAAGGAGAUCC